UAUCAUAUUAAAAUAUGAGGGGACAAACCUCAUCGGAGUAUGGUCAAAGCUCCGAUAUGAACCCAAUAAUUAUAUUUGGUUUUACUCCCGUA
Long non-coding RNA from Ipomoea nil (Japanese morning glory), 92 nucleotides. RefSeq lists it as uncharacterized. The record is from RefSeq and is a predicted model, not a curated record. Lineage: Eukaryota; Viridiplantae; Streptophyta; Magnoliopsida; Solanales; Convolvulaceae. The transcript has 3 exons.